RNAcentral lists this ribosomal RNA (498 nucleotides) under uncultured bacterium. RNAcentral's name for it is "bacterial SSU rRNA". It matches the Rfam family "Bacterial small subunit ribosomal RNA", at positions 15 to 507 of the family's 1533-position model. The record is from RNAcentral.
GAUCAUGGCUCAGAUUGAACGGCUGGCGGCAGGCCUAACACAUGCAAGUCGAGCGGUAGAGAGAAGCUUGCUUCUCUUGAGAGCGGCGGACGGGUGAGUAAUGCCUAGGAAUCUGCCUGGUAGUGGGGGAUAACGUUCGGAAACGGAACGCUAAUACCGCAUACGUCCUACGGGAGAAAGCAGGGACCUUCGGGCCUUGCGCUAUCAGAUGAGCCUAGGUCGGAUUAGCUAGUUGGUGAGGUAAUGGCUCACCAAGGCGACGAUCCGUAACUGGUCUGAGAGGAUGAUCAGUCACACUGGAACUGAGACACGGUCCAGACUCCUACGGGAGGCAGCAGUGGGGAAUAUUGGACAAUGGGCGAAAGCCUGAUCCAGCCAUGCCGCGUGUGUGAAGAAGGUCUUCGGAUUGUAAAGCACUUUAAGUUGGGAGGAAGGGCAGUUACCUAAUACGUGAUUGUUUUGACGUUACCGACAGAAUAAGCACCGGCUAACUCUGUG